CGUUCCCGGGUCUUGUACACCACCGCCCGUCACACCACGAAAGUCGGCAACACCCGAAGCCGGUGGCCUAACCGCAAGGGAGGGAGCCGUCGAAGGUGGGGCUGGGCGAGUUGGGGUG
Molecule: ribosomal RNA, 118 nt
Filed under: uncultured bacterium
Lineage: Bacteria
Description: partial 16S ribosomal RNA
Rfam family: Bacterial small subunit ribosomal RNA
Source: RNAcentral